Molecule: RNA transcript, 3791 nt
Organism: Triticum dicoccoides
Lineage: Eukaryota; Viridiplantae; Streptophyta; Magnoliopsida; Poales; Poaceae
Exons: 10
Source: RefSeq, a predicted model, not a curated record
UUGCAGCGCUCCCAAAUCUGCCUCUCACACACACGCCGUUGUCGCCGCCGCUGCCGCCGCUAUUCCUCGCCGCCACUGCCGCUGCCGCCGCCGACGUUCAUCUCCUUGACCGCCCCCGUCCAUGCACAUCCACCACGCGAUGCCUCGCCACCCUCUGAAUCUCACUGUGUGCUCCAUCUCGCCGCUCCCCUAGUUCCCUGCAUCUGCUCACUGCUCCCCAUUGACCCGAAGGCGGCUACCACCACUCAUGGCUCUCCUCUCUCAAGGACGUCGCUCCCUAUCCACCUAAAGGCCACCAGCAUUCAUGCCUCCCCCUCCCCCGCCCCUCCCCCGGUUCCCUAUUCCUGGUCGCUGCUCCCCAUCGACCUGAAGGCCGCCGACCACUCACACAUCAUCCGGCUGCUGCCCCUCUGUUGUAUUGCUGCUCGGACUUACUCCACCUGGUGCCUUGACGAGCGACCUACACUACCGGCCGCCGCUCCUCUGUCGGCUGCUACAUACACCGGCCUGCUGCACUGACCAGUGAUAUCUGCCACGUGACGCAGCUCCCCUGACGUGUUGCUGCUCCCACCCAAGGUUCUUGGGUUACUUAGAAGUGGUGAACAUAUUGAGGAAGAAGUAAUAGCCCUAGCUGCAGGCUCUUUAAUGGUUGCCAAGAAGUAUAAUAGCUAUGCCAUAAAUGGAUAUGUUUUCCACACGGAAUCAUAUCAUCAGGGUAGACCCAGGCAAAGCUAUGGAGUAGCUUUAGUUGGACAAACUGUGAGCAUUUCUGGACAUACUCAAACUAAGGCAUAUUAUGGUGUUAUUACUGAAAUCUUAGAAAUGACCUAUCAUCGGAAAGGAAACAUUGUGCUUUUGAAAUGUGGUUGGUUUGACAACAGAGUACAAGGUAAAUGGGUGAAGACUGAUAAGUUUGGUGUAACUAGUGUACACAUGGCACACAUUAUCAGCACCGGUGAAAAUCACAUGGAUGAACCUUUCAUUUUAUCAUCGCAAGCAUGUCAAGUUUAUUAUGUUCCUGAUAAACAAAAUAAAGAUUGGUCCGCUGUAAGGGUCUCACCGCCGCGUGACCUUUAUGGCAUUGAUGAAGUGAGAAAUCAGCAUCUGGAGUAUUUAUUGCAGGAACCGGUUAUUCCUAUAAAUUUAAAUGCAAAUUUUAAGGUUCUUGGUGAUGAUAUCUUGGUUAGAAAUGAUACAACUAAAUCAAAUGAGAAGAGGAAGGGGAAUGUCAAAAGGAGGAAGAGAGGAUGAAGUCUAUGCCAAACAGUAUGAGGACUUGAGGGCUGCAAAUAUUAGAGAUAAUCGUAGUAGGAUGGAAGAUAUGGCACUAAGAUAAAAAAAGGAUGCUGUCAAUAUAGAAUCCAUCCUACAUGAUUGUGCUGCGAAAAAGAGCAAGUCUGCCAGUACUCGUAAGAAAGCUCCUAAGACAACACAAACUGAUCUAAUAAUUGAACGUGAUAUCUGCGGCCUAGGCCAUCAAACAUUGACACACAAAAUCAAGAAGCUAUUGCUGAUCAGACUGUUGAAGAUAAUCAAGAAGUGGAAGAAGAUCCUAAAGAAGUUGAUGCGGAGAAGACAACGAGGAAGUUUACUAGAAAGGAGAUCUUGUGGGCAAGAGCAAAUGAAAAACGACCAUUGAUCAAAUUGAAAUAUAACAAACUAAAACAACCAAUUGGACCUGGCUCAAAAGAAUUUCCUGCUGCAGUCACAACACUUAUAAGAACUAGGUUGUUCCCUGUGGACAAAGCUGAUUGGAGAGAUGUCCCGGUUGAACAUAAUGAAAAACUAAUUGAUGACCUAUCUGCAAUAUAUGUGAUGGAGUACUGGCUCAAGAAUUAUUCCUUGCAGACUGCUGCGAAGAAAUGGAGAGCUUUCAAAGCUGAUAUGAAGGAAAAGGCUUUCAAAAUUGAUGACCCCUUGAAGAUUCUCACAAAGGAUGAGCUUAUUGAACGCUGUGAUGAUAGAAUAGAUCCUGAACAAUGGAAAUGGUUGGUCAAUCACUAGUUAUCUGAGAAAGGGCUAGAGCGUAGCAUAUGCGGCAAACAGAAUCGUUCUAAGGUGGUAACACCUCAUAUAACUGGAAGCAAAAGCUUUGCACGUGUUGGAGAUGAAUGUGCUAAAGAGUAUGGUCGUGAGCUAGGUAGGCAUGAGUUAUUUAUGAAGACCCAUACUAAAAAAAGAUGGGAAUGCUCUAGCUAAAGCUCAACCAAAAAUUGAUGAACUUAAGAAACCUGCAAUCCUUCAUCCUGAAUUGCUUGAAAGACCCAUAGAGAAAUGCGAUCUAUUUUCCCAUGUAUUUGGUCGUGAACCAAGGGGAUAUGUACGUGGAGUUGGUUUAGGACCAACUCCUGCUACUCUGGGCAUUGAUGGGUACCGCUCAUGUGCAUCCACAAGUGUAUAGAUGGCAAUCCGUGCUAGCCAGAAAACAGAAGAGCAAAACAUAUUGUUGAAGGGCGCUCUACAUCGACUAUUCGAUGAGGUCAGAGAACUUAGGGAAAUAGUGAAAGGUGGCAAAGGACAGGAAGAGAUACUUGAUGAUGAUGCAACAGAUCGUGCGUCCUCUCCUACACUGGAACAUGGAUCUAAUCCUUCACCAACCACUCAGAUGAGAGGAGUUUCUAGUGAUUAUGGUGAUCAUAAUGUGCAUGAGGACAUGAUGAACAAUCAUGAUGCUGAUGUGAUGGUUCCUAUUAGAGGAAGAGCUCCACUCCAACCCACUAGAGGACACGAGGGGGGUGGGAAAGAGGUUGUUCUACUUUCUGUUGAGAGGCCAUGUGGUCAACCCGUGGCUAAGGCUACUCUCCAAACAUCUAAUCCAGAAGCACGUGUGGGAGGAUCUCUUUUAGGUGUUGAGUACCAUGAAGUAGUUGUGAAUAGUGCGAUGAGAGGUGAUCAUAUACUUCCUCGGCAACAUGGAAAGCUGAAGAUGCUGGCAGAUUGCGUUGGGCAUUCUAUAGGUUGGCCGCACCUAAACAUUGUGAAUGAAGAAAGGGCAACAAAAACAUCCAAGGUUCAGCAUCUUCAGUAAGUUGCUCCUAUUCAUUGUGAGUAAUUGUGCUCCUUGAUCAACUUUUGCACCUAGUUUUGCUUCUUGAUCUUCAGAUUUGGUGCCAGUUCCCAUAUACACUGCGAGAAAAAUCUAACUUGAUGGUUUCGUGUGCUCUUUGUUCCCAUAUAAAAUACAAAAAAUUGUCGUAUACCUAUGACUCCUGUAACUUUGUUUUGCUAGGUGAAUGGAGACAACCUUAGAUAUAGUCCAGCAUGCAGUUACACAUGUAUUGAUACAUAUGCUUUAGCUUUUGUUUUACUGAAUGGACGAAUGGAGUUUUACUAAAACUUGAGAUUAUAGUUGGAUGUGGUACAACCAGUUCUCAGCGUAUGGCUUAUUGUUUUGUUACACAUUGUGGUCCUGCCAUGGCGGGUGUUGCUUGUCUUUAGGUUGGUAUUCUAUACUCAUAUCCUUCCACAUAGUACAUGUUUUUCCUGCUGAAAACCUGGAAUUAUGGACAUGAAUGGCUUACUAUAAUUUUACUGUCAUGUAUAUAUUUUGUGGUGGCAUGCUGUCAAAUUUUGUCUAAAAUAUGUUAAAAUGGCGCUGAAAUUGACCCUUGUGUAUAUGUGUCUUUUGCGGACGAGAACCGGAGGAAGAAUUUCGACCCUUCGUUGUAGAUGCCUGAGCAAUGAACAUUGGCAUGCUUUUGGGAAUAUGCAAUUUAAGUUGUCUCAUUUUGUUGUCUGGUUUGUACUGAAUUACAUGAUCUGUAUGCUAUCAAUCAGAUUUGUGAGAUCUA